RNAcentral lists this ribosomal RNA (186 nucleotides) under uncultured bacterium. Its description in RNAcentral is "partial 16S ribosomal RNA". It matches the Rfam family "Bacterial small subunit ribosomal RNA", at positions 338 to 524 of the family's 1533-position model. The record is from RNAcentral.
CCUACGGGAGGCAGCAGUAAGGAAUAUUGCGCAAUGGGCGAAAGCCUGACGCAGCGACGCCGCGUGGGGGAUGAAGGUCUUCGGAUUGUAAACCCCUUUCGGGAGGGAAGAUGGAAUGGGGUAACCCAUUCGGACGGUACCUCCAGAAGCAGCCACGGCUAACUUCGUGCCAGCAGCCGCGGUAAU